UGUGUGUGUGCCUGUGUGUGCAU
RNAcentral lists this non-coding RNA (23 nucleotides) under Rattus norvegicus (Norway rat). The record is from RNAcentral. Lineage: Eukaryota; Metazoa; Chordata; Mammalia; Rodentia; Muridae.